This 331-nucleotide ribosomal RNA is filed under the name uncultured eukaryote. Its description in RNAcentral is "partial 18S ribosomal RNA". It matches the Rfam family "Eukaryotic small subunit ribosomal RNA", at positions 1470 to 1796 of the family's 1831-position model. The record is from RNAcentral.
CCCUUAGAUGUUCUGGGCCGCACGUGCGCUACACUGUUCGACGCAGCGAGUCUUAACCUUGACCGAAAGGUUUGGGUAAUCUUCAGCAAAGUCGAACGUGAUGGGGAUCGAUCAUUGCAAUUAUUGAUCGUGAACGAGGAAUUCCUAGUAAGUGCAAGUCAUCAGCUUGCGCUGAUUACGUCCCUGCCCUUUGUACACACCGCCCGUCGCUACUACCGAUUGAAUGGUUUAGUGAGAUCUCUGGAUUGACGCUGGCUAGGGGGCGACCCUUGGCCAGGCUGUCGAGAAACUGCUCAAACUUGAUCAUUUAGAGGAAGUAAAAGUCGUAACA